This 489-nucleotide ribosomal RNA is filed under the name uncultured bacterium. RNAcentral describes it as "bacterial SSU rRNA". It matches the Rfam family "Bacterial small subunit ribosomal RNA", at positions 17 to 518 of the family's 1533-position model. The record is from RNAcentral.
UUCUGGCUCAGGACGAACGCUGGCGGCGUGCUUAACACAUGCAAGUCGAACGGAAAGGCCCUGCUUUGUGGGGUGCUCGAGUGGCGAACGGGUGAGUAACACGUGAGUAACCUGCCCUUGACUUUGGGAUAACUUCAGGAAACUGGGGCUAAUACCGGAUAGGAGCUCCUGCUGCAUGGUGGGGGUUGGAAAGUUUCGGCGGUUGGGGAUGGACUCGCGGCUUAUCAGCUUGUUGGUGGGGUAGUGGCUUACCUAGGCUUUGACGGGUAGCCGGCCUGAGAGGGUGACCGGCCACAUUGGGACUGAGAUACGGCCCAGACUCCUACGGGAGGCAGCAGUGGGGAAUAUUGCACAAUGGGCGGAAGCCUGAUGCAGCAACGCCGCGUGCGGGAUGACGGCCUUCGGGUUGUAAACCGCUUUCGCCUGUGACGAAGCGUGAGUGACGGUAAUGGGUAAAGAAGCACCGGCUAACUACGUGCCAGCCGCCGC